This 171-nucleotide ribosomal RNA is filed under the name uncultured Alphaproteobacteria bacterium. Its description in RNAcentral is "16S ribosomal RNA". It matches the Rfam family "Bacterial small subunit ribosomal RNA", at positions 338 to 526 of the family's 1533-position model. Lineage: Bacteria; Pseudomonadati; Pseudomonadota; Alphaproteobacteria. The record is from RNAcentral.
CCUACGGGAGGCAGCAGUAGGGAAUAUUGCACAAUGGAGGAAACUCUGAUGCAGCGAUGCCGCGUGAGUGAAGAAGGCCCUUGGGUUGUAAAGCUCUUUCGUCGGGGAAGAAAAUGACUGUGCCCGAAUAAGAAGGUCCGGCUAACUUCGUGCCAGCAGCCGCGGUAAUAC